RNAcentral lists this ribosomal RNA (745 nucleotides) under uncultured bacterium. RNAcentral describes it as "bacterial SSU rRNA". It matches the Rfam family "Bacterial small subunit ribosomal RNA", at positions 33 to 773 of the family's 1533-position model. The record is from RNAcentral.
ACGCUGGCGGCAGGCCUAACACAUGCAAGUCGAGCGGUAGAGAGAAGCUUGCUUCUCUUGAGAGCGGCGGACGGGUGAAUAAUGCCUAGGAAUCUGCCUGGUAGUGGGGGAUAACGUUCGGAAACGGACGCUAAUACCGCAUACGUCCUACGGGAGAAAGCAGGGGACCUUCGGGCCUCACGCCAUCGGAUGUGCCCAGAUGGGAUUAGCUAGUAGGUGGGGUAAUGGCUCACCUAGGCGACGAUCCCUAGCUGGUCUGAGAGGAUGACCAGCCACACUGGAACUGAGACACGGUCCAGACUCCUACGGGAGGCAGCAGUGGGGAAUAUUGCACAAUGGGCGCAAGCCUGAUGCAGCCAUGCCGCGUGUGUGAAGAAGGCCUUAGGGUUGUAAAGCACUUUCAGCGAGGAGGAAGGGUUCAGUGUUAAUAGCACUGUGCAUUGACGUUACUCGCAGAAGAAGCACCGGCUAACUCCGUGCCAGCAGCCGCGGUAAUACGGAGGGUGCAAGCGUUAAUCGGAAUUACUGGGCGUAAAGCGCACGCAGGCGGUUUGUUAAGUCAGAUGUGAAAUCCCCGAGCUUAACUUGGGAACUGCAUUUGAAACUGGCAAGCUAGAGUCUUGUAGAGGGGGGUAGAAUUCCAGGUGUAGCGGUGAAAUGCGUAGAGAUCUGGAGGAAUACCGGUGGCGAAGGCGGCCCCCUGGACUGAUACUGACACUGAGGUGCGAAAGCGUGGGGAGCAAAC